This 406-nucleotide ribosomal RNA is filed under the name uncultured bacterium. RNAcentral's name for it is "partial 16S ribosomal RNA". It matches the Rfam family "Bacterial small subunit ribosomal RNA", at positions 30 to 526 of the family's 1533-position model. The record is from RNAcentral.
AUUGAACGCUGGCGGCAGGCCUAAUACAUGCAAGUCGAACGAGAGGCGGACGGGUGAGUAGUGUCUGGGAAACUGCCUGAUGUAGGGGGAUAACUAGUGGAAACGUUAGCUACUACCGCAUACCAUCGGUUGUGCCGAGGUGGGAUUAGCGAGUGGGUGGGGUAAAGGCUCACCUAGGCGACGAUGCAUAGCUGGUCUGAGAGGCUGAUCGGCCACACUGGAACUGCGACACGGGCCAGACUCCUACGGGAGGCAGCAGUAGGGAAUAUUGCACAAUGGGCGAAAGCCUGACGCAGCCAUGCCGCGUGAAUGAAGAAGGUUUUCGGGUUGUAAAGUUCUUUCGUCAGAGAGGCGUUACCUGCAGAGGAAGCCACGGCUAACUACGUGCCAGCAGCCGCGGUAAUAC